RNAcentral lists this ribosomal RNA (468 nucleotides) under uncultured bacterium. RNAcentral's name for it is "partial 16S ribosomal RNA". It matches the Rfam family "Bacterial small subunit ribosomal RNA", at positions 28 to 507 of the family's 1533-position model. The record is from RNAcentral.
GACGAACGCUGGCGGCGUGCUGAACACAGGCAAGUCGAACGGAAAGGCCCUGCUUUUGUGGGGGGCUCGAGUGGCGAAGGGGUGAGUAACACGUGAGUAACCUGCCCGUGACUUUGGGAGAACGUCAGGAAACUGGGGCUAAGAGCGGAUAGGAGCUCCGGCUGCAUGGUGGGGGGUGGAAAGUUUCGGCGGGUGGGGAUGGACUCGCGGCUUAGCAGCUUGUUGGUGGGGUAGUGGCUUACCCAGGCUUUGACGGGUAGCCGGCCUGAGAGGGUGACCGGCCACAUUGGGCCUGAGAUACGGCCCAGACUCCUCCGGGAGGCAGCAGUGGGGAAUAUUGCACAAUGGGCGGAAGCCUGAUGCAGCAACGCCGCGUGCGGGAUGCCGGCCUUCGGGUUGUAAACCGCUUUCGCCUGUGACGCAGCGUGCGUGACGGUAAUGGGUAAAGAAGCACCGGCUAACUACGUG